AAAAGUAGCAUCAAAAC
Molecule: small RNA, 17 nt
Filed under: Arabidopsis thaliana (thale cress)
Lineage: Eukaryota; Viridiplantae; Streptophyta; Magnoliopsida; Brassicales; Brassicaceae
Description: ATSL006080
Source: RNAcentral